RNAcentral lists this long non-coding RNA (2484 nucleotides) under Mytilus galloprovincialis (Mediterranean mussel). The record is from RNAcentral. Lineage: Eukaryota; Metazoa; Mollusca; Bivalvia; Mytilida; Mytilidae.
GUAGGAUUUUUCACUAGUGCUAUAUUUAACUUUUUUAACUUUUACAAUUUUUGAAAAUGAUCAAAUAAUGCUCUGAUCCAUGUGAUUAAUAUGUUUAAACCCUCAUCACGUAGCACUCAUGCAUAUAUAUGAAAGUUUUGAAAUAGAUUUAAUUGCCUUAAUAUUUUAUAUUUCAUUUAAAAAUUGUUAAUGGUAUUAAGAUUUCGUUAUAAUUAAUUAUUGUGUAAUGUAGAGAUGGGUUUAUCAUUAUCAUAUACCAUUUUUGAUGGCUAAAAUAUUACUCAUUUUAAAUAUGGAAAAAAACAUACAAUUGUUUGACUGAAAGCUUUUUUUAGAUGUUGGAAAUAUUUCUAGAGGUAGAUGCAUAAAAUUUUCCAUUUUAGUUUUGGAUUAGAUUUAUGUCUUAUAUUGAUUGAUCUCACCAAUAACUUAAAGAUGUUAAAGAUCUCAAAUUGAAAAAAUACAUAAGUUUUCAUCAAAUCAUGACUUUUCAUGUUGAAAAAGAGUUAAAAGGAGUUGCAAUUUAUUAUUGUCUUCCAAGAUCAUCGAAUGCCUUUUGGUAUUUUUUUUACCUAAUUUUUGCUUUUUCUCAUAUACAAUUUUCUGUCUCACAUUAUUUUUGUUUUUGUUAUAUUUUUCAUAUGCUAUUUAUUGGUGUUUUGGAAAUGCAUAAUAUCUCACAUUUUAUAUACUGCAAGUAUAUCACUGCUUGUAACAGAAUUCAUGUCUGCAUGCUAGAGUGGUAAAUAAUUUUCCGUUAUAUGAUUUGACCAGAUACCUACUUUAUAAUUUGACAUUCCAAACAAUUGUUACACUUUUGUUAAGAUUCAGUUAUGUUUGCUUUAUUUUUCCAUCCUUUUUUAUUCCUAAAUUUAUAUUGAUCCUGCUUAUAUAAGUUUGAGAUUGUCAUUAUUCCAUGUAUAAAGAUAUCAUUGAAAUUGUAUUAUUGAAGAUCAAUAUCCUAGAUUUCACUCUUUUUUCCCCUGAGAUUUCUGUAAAAUUGAACUGGUUUCUGAUGUAUGUAAAUGAUUGAUAUAUGAUCUGUAAAUCAUGUGAAAUAAUUUUUGAACAAAUUCUUGGUCAUCAUAAACUUGUUAAGUUUUACAAAUGGAAUCACCAGCCGAAGUACAACUACAGGUGCUAAUCUUUUAUCAUAUGAAAAAAACUUUGAAGGGUACAGACAUAAUAUUGUGAAUUUAAGAAUUACCAAUAUAUUGUGGCAAAAAUAACUGCCAUUUGCCACUACACAAAGUGGAUGUCAUAAGCAUAUCAUAUCAUGGCAGCUUAUAUUUAUUACUAUGAAAUAUCUUCAUUAUUCCAUCAUUAUUAAAGAUAAAAUAUAUCUUUUUAUGUAUUUUGGAACGUUAACUGUUCAAUACUUUGAUAAAUGAAUAUGGAUUUGUAGAACCUAAAAUGUGCGGGUUAAGACUUGUGUUCCAAAAAUUAAAUGGCUGGAAGGUCUGGAUUUUUUUUAAGAAAGAGGACGGUUUCCUUAUGUUUAUAAAAAAAAGUUGCAUUUUACUAUCUGACAUUGAACAAAGAGACCAAUGAUUAAUAUAUUUUUGAUCAAUUCUGUCAGGUUACCUAGCAGUUUAAACUAAUAAGUCAAAAAUAACUUAACUAGAUCACAAAUAAUAUAUCGCGGUUAGAGUGACCCGACAGCCUUUUCAUUUAUUAGUAAAAUUAACCUAAAUUUUGAAGGUUGGAGAUUUAACUAUUUUUGCAUUUAACGGCCCAAAUGAUGGCUCCUGUCAUACCUCAGAUAUUACUAUAUUGAUAGACAAGUUAAGACAAGUUAAUUAUUUGGAACAAACUACCAUUUAUAUUUUGAAUGUUACAAUUGUUAUUUAGUUACCUUAUAUUGUACUGUUUGUGCCAUGAUUUGUAGUGUAAUUUCCCCCAUACAUUUGAUAAAUUUAUCACUAGUUUUAGUCCUGUUUGUUUGUUGUCAAUUCACUUUUUUUUCUCAGGUAGCCUUAGAUCAAUUCUUUUGAUAUUUAAGCAGUGUGACUUGUGACAUAUAAACAUUAUGUUUGAUGACCAGGAUAUGGUAAAUCCAUUUAUUCCAAUUGCCUCAUUAUUUGCAUUGUAUGUACAUUUUCAUGGUUUCCAUAGAUCAUGCCAUUGUAUAGAUAUUGUAUAUUUUAAAUUUGGACAGAAAAGAACAAAGCAAUCUUUUGUUAAUUGCAGAUAAAGAUGUCAGAACUUCUAAAAUAAUAUUCUAUUGAUUACAGAAAAUGUACAAACCAAAUAGUGCUUGUGUAGAAAAAAAACAGUCAAAGAUUGACGGAAGUUUGCUGAAAGAUUUUUUUUCAGGUUUGACCAUAUGCUUUUUCUUGCAAAAUAAAGUUUUUGAAAUUAUAAAAUGAAGAAACUUCCAUUAUACGAUGAUGCAUUAGGCAAAUAAAUGUAAGAUUUUCUAGUCAUUAAUGUACACAGUAGAAGCUUUUCCUUUUUUGAAUUAAUAAAUUUGAUGUUUUUACA